Molecule: ribosomal RNA, 218 nt
Filed under: Methylobacterium sp. DB0501
Lineage: Bacteria; Pseudomonadati; Pseudomonadota; Alphaproteobacteria; Hyphomicrobiales; Methylobacteriaceae
Description: partial 16S ribosomal RNA
Rfam family: Bacterial small subunit ribosomal RNA (bases 40-218)
Source: RNAcentral
AGCCUCCGUUUAUGUUGUGAUCAGCUUUGAUCAGCUCUUCAACUUGAGAGUUUGAUCCUGGCUCAGAGCGAACGCUGGCGGCAGGCUUAACACAUGCAAGUCGAGCGGGCAUCCUUGUGGUGUCAGCGGCAGACGGGUGAGUAACGCGUGGGAACGUGCCCUUCGGUUCGGAAUAACUCAGGGAAACUUGAGCUAAUACCGGAUACGUGCGAGAGCAG